GUGCUCGCUUCAGCAGCACAUAUACUAAAAUUGGAACGAUACAGAGAAGAUUAGCAUGGCCCCUGCGCAAGGAAACCUAGAAGAAAACCUUGGAAACACCAUUCU
Small nuclear RNA from Macaca fascicularis (crab-eating macaque), 105 nucleotides. Lineage: Eukaryota; Metazoa; Chordata; Mammalia; Primates; Cercopithecidae. The record is from Ensembl.